This 543-nucleotide ribosomal RNA is filed under the name uncultured bacterium. RNAcentral describes it as "bacterial SSU rRNA". It matches the Rfam family "Bacterial small subunit ribosomal RNA", at positions 345 to 879 of the family's 1533-position model. The record is from RNAcentral.
GAGGCAGCAGUAGGGAAUCUUCCACGAUGGGCGAAAGCCUGAUGGAGCAACGCCGCGUGAGUGAUGAAGGCCUUCGGGUUGUAAAACUCUGUCAUUCGGGACGAACCGGAGUCUGAGGAAAUGCAGACUCUCUGACGGUACCGGAGGAGGAAGCCCCGGCUAACUACGUGCCAGCAGCCGCGGUAAUACGUAGGGGGCAAGCGUUGUCCGGAUUCACUGGGCGUAAAGCGCGCGCAGGCGGUGAUGUAAGUCUGAGGUGAAAACCCGAAGCUCAACUUCGGGACUGCCUUGGAUACUGCGUCACUUGAGGAUAGGAGAGGCAAGGGGAAUUCCACGUGUAGCGGUGAAAUGCGUAGAGAUGUGGAGGAACGCCUGUGGCGAAGGCGCCUUGCUGGCCUAUUUCUGACGCUGAGGCGCGUAAGCGUGGGGAGCAAACAGGAUUAGAUACCCUGGUAGUCCACGCUGUAAACGAUGAGUGCUAGGUGUAGGUGGGCUCAUACCCAUCUGUGCCGAAGCUAACGCAUUAAGCACUCCGCCUGGGGA